RNAcentral lists this ribosomal RNA (256 nucleotides) under uncultured Gardnerella sp. Its description in RNAcentral is "partial 16S ribosomal RNA". It matches the Rfam family "Bacterial small subunit ribosomal RNA", at positions 99 to 354 of the family's 1533-position model. The record is from RNAcentral. Lineage: Bacteria; Bacillati; Actinomycetota; Actinomycetes; Bifidobacteriales; Bifidobacteriaceae.
CGAACGGGUGAGUAAUGCGUGACCAACCUGCCCCAUGCUCCAGAAUAGCUCUUGGAAACGGGUGGUAAUGCUGGAUGCUCCAACUUGACGCAUGUCUUGUUGGGAAAGUGUUUAGUGGCAUGGGAUGGGGUCGCGUCCUAUCAGCUUGUAGGCGGGGUAAUGGCCCACCUAGGCUUCGACGGGUAGCCGGCCUGAGAGGGCGGACGGCCACAUUGGGACUGAGAUACGGACCAGACUCCUACGGGAGGCAGCAGGC